GACGAACGCUGGCGGCGUGCUUAACACAUGCAAGUUGAACGGAAAGGCCCUGCUUUUGUGGGGUGCUCGAGUGGCGAACGGGUGAGUAACACGUGAGUAACCUGCCCUUGACUUUGGGAUAACUUCAGGAAACUGGGGCUGAUACCGGAUAGGAGCUCCUGCUGCAUGGUGGGGGUUGGAAAGUUUCGGCGGUUGGGGAUGGACUCGCGGCUUAUCAGCUUGUUGGUGGGGUAGUGGCUUACCAAGGCUUUGACGGGUAGCCGGCCUGAGAGGGUGACCGGCCACAUUGGGACUGAGAUACGGCCCAGACUCCUACGGGAGGCAGCAGUGGGGAAUAUUGCACAAUGGGCGGAAGCCUGAUGCAGCAACGCCGCGUGCGGGAUGACGGCCUUCGGGUUGUAAACCGCUUUCGCCUGUGACGAAGCGUGAGUGACGGUAAUGGGUAAAGAAGCACCGGCUAACUACGUG
RNAcentral lists this ribosomal RNA (468 nucleotides) under uncultured bacterium. Its description in RNAcentral is "partial 16S ribosomal RNA". It matches the Rfam family "Bacterial small subunit ribosomal RNA", at positions 28 to 507 of the family's 1533-position model. The record is from RNAcentral.